This 292-nucleotide ribosomal RNA is filed under the name uncultured bacterium. RNAcentral describes it as "partial 16S ribosomal RNA". It matches the Rfam family "Bacterial small subunit ribosomal RNA", at positions 505 to 796 of the family's 1533-position model. The record is from RNAcentral.
GUGUCAGCCGCCGCGGUAAUACGUAGGGCGCAAGCGUUGUCCGGAGUUAUUGGGCGUAAAGAGCUCGUAGGCGGUUUGUCGCGUCGGCUGUGAAAACCCGGGGCUCAACCCCGGGCCUGCAGUCGAUACGGGCAGACUAGAGUGCGGUAGGGGAGACUGGAAUUCCUGGUGUAGCGGUGAAAUGCGCAGAUAUCAGGAGGAACACCGGUGGCGAAGGCGGGUCUCUGGGCCGCUACUGACGCUGAGGAGCGAAAGCGUGGGGAGCGAACAGGAUUAGAAACCCUGGUAGUCC